GGGCUCGUAACUCAGGUUGGCUAGAGUGGCUGGCUUUUAACCAGUAAGUCGGGGGUUCAAAUCCCCCCGAGCCCG
This 75-nucleotide transfer RNA is filed under the name Microcaldota archaeon. RNAcentral's name for it is "tRNA-Lys". It matches the Rfam family "tRNA". Rfam says of the family: Transfer RNA (tRNA) molecules are approximately 80 nucleotides in length. The record is from RNAcentral. Lineage: Archaea; Nanobdellati; Microcaldota.